Molecule: ribosomal RNA, 254 nt
Filed under: uncultured bacterium
Lineage: Bacteria
Description: partial 16S ribosomal RNA
Rfam family: Bacterial small subunit ribosomal RNA
Source: RNAcentral
UACGGGGGGGGCAAGCGUUGUUCGGAAUUACUGGGCGGAAAGGGCUCGUAGGUGGCCAACUAAGUCAGACGUGAAAUCCCUCGGCUUAACCGGGGAACUGCGUCUGAUACUGGAUGGCUUGAGUUCGGGAGAGGGAUGCGGAAUUCCAGGUGUAGCGGUGAAAUGCGUAGAUAUCUGGAGGAACACCGGUGGCGAAGGCGGCAUCCUGGACCAACACUGACGCUGAGGGAGCGAAAGCCAGGGGAGCAAACGGG